CUCUGCUAAUUUCUGGUUUGAAGAUCAAUCUCAUUGCAAUGGGAAAGCAUAUCUUGCUGCUCCUACUGGGCCUGACUUUGCUGGUGAGCUCCCUGCAAGAUGGAAAAUUUGUAUAUGGAAACCAGAGCUGUGCUGAGUGCAACGCUACGACUGUUGAGCAUGGAAGUCUUAUAGUAUCAACAAACUGUUGCUCAGCCACCCCUUUCUGCAAUAUGGUACAUCGCUGAUACUUAAUUGUAUGGAAGGAUUUUAGUGCUCUUUAUUGAGUCUUGACACUGGAGCAUGCCAGAAAGAAUAAUCUACUGACCAUGUCUGGACAACUCACUAUGAUUUCUACAUCGUGUUUUCUGACUACAUGUAUAUCAUAUGUUCUUGGGUGAUCUGUAAUAAAUUGAAAGCCUUACAUAUUUUAA
This 413-nucleotide long non-coding RNA is filed under the name Rattus norvegicus (Norway rat). RNAcentral's name for it is "long non-coding RNA NONRATT028409". The record is from RNAcentral. Lineage: Eukaryota; Metazoa; Chordata; Mammalia; Rodentia; Muridae.